RNAcentral lists this antisense RNA (75 nucleotides) under Mycobacterium sp. NAZ190054. RNAcentral describes it as "ASpks TB sRNA". It matches the Rfam family "ASpks TB sRNA". Lineage: Bacteria; Bacillati; Actinomycetota; Actinomycetes; Mycobacteriales; Mycobacteriaceae. The record is from Rfam by way of RNAcentral.
CUUGACCGACCCGAGCAGCAGCGGCCGGUCCGCGUCACGGGCGCCGCCGUAGGCGGCGGCGGCCGCCUGCACUUC